This 577-nucleotide long non-coding RNA is filed under the name Ananas comosus (pineapple). RNAcentral describes it as "long non-coding RNA (ACOM_LNC018813)". The record is from RNAcentral. Lineage: Eukaryota; Viridiplantae; Streptophyta; Magnoliopsida; Poales; Bromeliaceae.
UUUGUACUCAUAAGUUUUCGAUCAUUUAGAGGAAAAAAAUGUGCGGUUAGAAUGAAAAUGGUUACGAUUAAGUUGAUAGUGAGCCCCCUAGAGUUGAGUGGGUGAUUGGUUGAAUAGUAUAAUCUAACAUGUGAAAAUGAUUAUAGGGUAGAUCUAAUGAUCAAAAACUUAUGAGUACAAUAGGCUCUAUACUCAUAAAAGUAUAGUAGCCGGACUCUAUAUAUAUAUAUAUAUAUAUAUAUAUAUAAAGAGAGAGAGAGAGAGAGAGAGAUAGGCUGGAAUACUAUUGAUAAUAAAAGAUAUUUUUUACUAUCAAGUUUUUAACCCUUAAAUAAAAAAUUAUAGAAUUAGAAUAAUAUUAGUCUCUUAGAGUUGAAUGGUUUUUCUAGAAUUGAGUGGUUCCUACUGAGUUAUAAUAUUUAAUUCAAUAAUUAGAAAUAAUUAAAGGAAUUGAUCUAAAAGCUAAAAAUUUGAUAGCAAAACAGACUUUUUUAUUACCAAUAAUAUUCUAGCCCAACUAGCUCAACUCUGUCUCUGUCUCUGUCUCUCUCUCUCUACAAUGACUCUUCUACACUUC